Molecule: unclassified non-coding RNA, 4822 nt
Filed under: Hevea brasiliensis (rubber tree)
Lineage: Eukaryota; Viridiplantae; Streptophyta; Magnoliopsida; Malpighiales; Euphorbiaceae
Source: RNAcentral
AGGAAAUCCUUACAACCUGAAGAAGAGAAAAGUGUGAAAGAAGCUUCUCAGUUCUCAUUGGAUCUGCUCUCUUCAUUAUCUUUUCCCCUUCUUAACUCGCAUUCCUUCUCUGAGUCCACUCGCUUCCCUCUCCGUAACAUUCACUUAUCAUCCAUACCUAUACGUGCACUUUGUCCAUGCGCAUUUUCAGAUAGGGUCCAGAAGUUGAUUGCUUUGGCUGCAUUGGAUGGAACGAUCGAGGAAAUGGUGAUUUUCUGGCGCUUUAGCCUGAUGUUCCGGUGACGGACUUGAUUUCCCGGCCAAUUCGCCGGUGGAGCUCCACCGGAGAAGAUGUUCAAGUCGGCGAGACGGAGGAGCGAGAAGAACAAGGUCAAAGCUGUGUUCAAAUUUCAUUUCCAUGUAACUCAGGUUUUUCAGCUGAAUGUGGAUGCAUUGGUGAUGUCUGUGGUCCCUGGGGGCGUUGGGAAGCCAACAGCAAGACUAGAGAAGGGUAUACUCCGAGAGGGAAGCUGUCGGUGGGAAUAUCCAAUAUAUGAAACCGUGAAAUUCGCUCAAGACGCAAGAACAGGGAAGAUCGAUGAGAGAACAUAUCAUUUCAUUGUUUCAACUGGAUCCUCAAAAAACAGUUUGGUUGGAGAAGUUUCAAUUGAUCUUGCUAAUUAUGCAGAGGCUACAAAAGCCUCCACUGUUUCUCUUCCCCUGAGGAAUUCAAAAUCUAAUGGGGUUUUGCAUGUUUCAAUUCAGAGGCUGCAGGGGGGUAUCGAUCAAAGAGAUGUGGAGGAAACUGACAAUACAGACAUCCAAACCCAGAAUAGAACCCUGAACGCCCACUUAAGCAAUGGCGAAGAAGAAGGCAGUAAGAGCAAUUCUAAUGAAGUAAGUUUGCAACCUAGCGGUAAAAGGCAAUUCUUUUUCUUUUUUAUUUUUUUAACGGAAGGCGAUUCUUUAAUUCUUGGUUUGCAUGAUUGGGGAAAUUAGAGGGUGGAGAAAGAUUUACUACAAACGCAAAUUAUAAGUUUCCACCCUUCCUAUAACUCCUUUUCUUUUAUCCUGUAAUUAGAGAAAUGGUUGGUGAAAAUACGUUUGUGCAUUUUGUAUUGUUGAAGGUUGGACCACUUCAUGAUGCCAUCCACAUGUCUGAUGUAAAUGGUGACCGCAGAACAUCUAGUGGAUCUGACAUAACAAUGUCAAGUUCUGAGAGCAGCUCUGGGGUUAACACCCCAUGGGAACUUGGAUCGAGAAAUAAUUACAUCCUACAGGAUUCAACUAGCUUCCCAUCAUCUCAAAGCCAUGCCUCAGUUCCUCAUAAACCAAUUGCAAAUGUCUCAGCAAAGAUCUAUGAAGAGAAUCGGCAAUCACAAUGGGAGUGGUCAGCAGACUCUGAUCAUGGAAUAUGUAUUGACGACUCAAUAAGCGGUUCUCUAGACAACCUUACAGCAGAAAGAUCUCAACACAAUUCAGAUAUUGAGAUUGAAAAGCUCAAGGAUGAAAUUGUUUCUUUGGCUAGGCAAAUAGAUUUGUCAGAAUUGGAAUUGCAGACCCUUCGAAAGCAAAUUGUAAAAGAAAGCAAAAGGGGUCAGGAUCUCUCAAGAGAAGUCAUGAGCUUGAAAGAGGAGAGACAUGUUCUCAAGGCGGAAUGUGAGAAACUUAAAGCCUUCCAGAAACGUAUAGAGGAGGCAAAAAGCAAAAAUAAGUUGCAGUUUGAGGGUGGAGAUGCACGGGUUCUUCUUGAAGAAAUCAGACAAGAACUGAAUUAUGAGAAGGACCUGAAUACCAAUCUUCGAUUACAACUGCAGAAGACCCAAGAAUCAAAUGCUGAGCUGAUACUUGCUGUGAAAGACCUAGAAGAAAUGUUGGAGCAGAAAAGUAAGGAAACAUCUGAUCCUUCAAAUAAAUCAAGAUUCUCUGAGAAUGCUAUGUCACAAAGUGAUACUGAUGAUGAUGAAGAGCAAAAGGCAUUGGAAGAGCUUGUUAAGAAGCACAGAGAUGCUAAAGAAGCAUACCUGCUGGAGCAAAGGAUCAUGGAUCUCAGCAGUGAAAUAGAGAUCUAUAGGAGAGAUAAAGAUGAACUAGAGAUGCAAAUGGAGCAGCUUGCACUUGACUAUGAGAUAUUGAAGCAGGAGAACCAUGACAUGUCAUAUAAAUUAGAGCAAAGUCAGCUGCAAGACCAACUGAUGUUGCAGUAUGAAUGCUCUUCGUUUGCCAAUAUAAAUGAACUAGAAGCCCAGAUUGAGAGCUUGGAAAAUGAACUCAAGAAGCAGUCCAAAGCAUAUUCUGAGUCUCUGGCGACCAUAAAUGAACUGCAAACCUAUAUCAAGAGCUUGGAGGACGAACUGGAGAAGCAAGCUGAAGGUUUUGAAGCUGAUCUUGAAGCUGUAACUUGUGCAAAAGUUGAGCAGGAGCAAAGAGCCAUCAGGGCAGAGGAAGCCUUAAGAAAGACAAGAUGGAAGAAUGCUAAUACAGCUGAAAAGCUACAGGAGGAAUUUAAAAAACUGUCCAUCCAAAUGACCUCUACAUUUGAUGCAAAUGAGAAGGUAGCCAUAAAAUCGCUGGCGGAAGCUAAUGAUCUGCGUAUGAAGAAAAGUCAACUUGAAGAAAUGCUUCAGAAAGCUAAUGAGGAUCUCCAUUCAGUUAGGGAUGAUUAUGAGACAAAACUAUGCUACCUUUCCAGCCAAUUAAAUUUCAAAAUGGAUCAGAUAGAACAAAUGUUGGUGGAAAUUGAUGAUAAAAGAAAGCAGCUGGAACAUAAAAAAAAACAUGAGGAGGAACUUGUUGGAUCUUUCUCACAAGAAAUCCUUAGGCUAAAAAAUGAGCUUGAAAAGUGCACAAUGGAAAAUAAUAUCCUUUCUGAACAAGCAGAACAUAAAGAAAAUAUGAGAGUUGAAUUGGAACAGUUGAAGGCAUCGAUUAAGCAUACUGAAGAGCUGGUACAAAAAGGAAAUAUAGAAAGGAAUGAACUGGUGAGCACCCUUGCUUUGAUGAAGAAGGAAGGGGAGAAGUUGAUGGAGGAGUUAAAUAAAAUGAAAUCUCUCAAGGAUGAGAGGGAGACAGCAAUGGGUCUCAUGCAGACAGAGGUGGAAUCACUGAAAGCUCAGUGUAAUGACUUGAAACAUUCUCUCUUUGAAGAUGAGUUGGAGAAAGAAAAACUUAGAAAGCAAGUGUUCCAGUUAAAGGGUGACCUUAAUAAGAAGGAUGAUACGAUCACUAGUAUUGAGAAGAAGCUCAAGGAAAGCAACAAACGUACAGCAGUAUCUGAUAGCACAAGAAUGACUCUCAGAAACAAUAAAUCUGCUCUAGCUUCUCAUGGCUCCAAAGAGGCUACAAAUCUGAGGGAGAAAAUAAAAUUGCUUGAGGUAAAUCUAGAACUCCAAGUGUACAGUAAAUUAAAAGUUUUUACUAGAAUAGGCCAGGCUGAAUAUUAGUGUAGGUGGCAGCAAUGAUCACCAGUUUGAAACCAUAAAUAUUGCCGAUUGCCACAAGAGGAAGAUUUUCAUAUUAGUAUCAUAUGAGAUUCAUGUUGACCUUCCUACAAUAUCUUCAUGUUUUGCAGAAUUCGAUUAUUGACUUCUUGUUACAGGGAACAUGAUCAUAAGUACUCAUUAUGUCAUGAUUUUGUCCGACAGGGACAAGUAAAGCUAAAGGAAACUGCUCUAGAAACCUCAGCAAAUUCAUUUUUGGAGAAGGAAAGGGAUCUGCUAAAAAAAAUUGAAGAGUUAGAGCACAGAGUGGAAGAACUCAAUCAAAACAGUGCAAUUUUAUUUGAAAAGCAAUGCCAAAAGGUUAGCAAUGAUUUAUAUAUCUCACGUCAGAAAAGAGCCAACCAGGAAAUAAAUCUGAGAGUAUUAAUGCCCAUGUAGUUAGAAGAGGCCAUCACAGAAGUAGAUGAACAAAUUUGCCUUUAUUUCCUCAUCGAUCAAAUGCCUACUAGGUUUUUAUCUUUGUAUUUGCUUCUAAAUGUCACCUAAGUGUACAUCAUACCAUCAUUUCUGAAUGAUUAUGCUUGGGAUGCAGUUGCCUGAGGACACCAUUGGCAAUACUUCAAAUGGUGGUUUAGCUGAAGAUAUAAGAAGCACAUAUGAGAAUCUGAGCAAUACAGCAUGGAUGUCCAAAGAGAAUGGAAAUGCAAAAUCAUUAGUCAAGAGCAAUUGUGCCAUUAUAUCAGGGGAAGAACUGAAAACCAGUGUCAUCAGCAAUGGAGAUUGCAAUACUAAUGAAUUAAUCAGUGAAUUAGAAUCAUUGAAGGAGAGAAACAAAUCAAUGGAAAAUGAACUGAAAGAGAUGCAAGAGAGAUAUUCAGAAAUGAGUCUCAAAUUUGCAGAGAAAACUACAUACUGUGAAUAGCUAAGUGGCUACAUGUUCCUACACUAAAAUUCUAUAUGUGACAGUUCUAUCGGAGUGAAUAAUCAAUUUGUACAAAAGUAAUAGCAAUCUGAAUGUAGGAUCUUAGUUGCCUUUCUGUAACUUCCAAUAUUAAUUUAGUUAAGCUGACCCUGGAAAUUAUGAUAAAGCCAUUAGCUUGUAAAUAAGUCUACUAAAGCUUCUCUUAAAUGCUUCCUAUUUCGAAGGGGAGCCUGUGGGCAAUUCAGAGUUGCCCAGUGCUGCAGCCCGUGAGGUAAAUCUGCUAUCCAAUUUCUAUGGACUUCUGAUUUUAACCUGUCUGAAGUUCAUGCAUUAUUCAAAGUAAACUUCUCCAUGUCUGAAUCUUUUAGGAUCUUGAUUCUUGAAAAUCUUGACAUUAAAAUUAGUUCCAUUGUUCAAGAACAAAAAAGUAAAGCAUGUUGGAGGUAACAAAUCCAAGUAUUCUCUCAAAACUACAAAUCUG